RNAcentral lists this unclassified non-coding RNA (240 nucleotides) under soil metagenome. Its description in RNAcentral is "partial contains 5.8S ribosomal RNA, internal transcribed spacer 2, and large subunit ribosomal RNA". The record is from RNAcentral.
AACAAGGCGUACCUGCGGACCUGCGGAAGGAUCAUUACCAGAGUGCCCUAGGCUCUCCAACCCAUUGUGAACUUACCAAACGUUCCCUCGGCGGGCUCAGCGCGCGGCGGCCUCCGGGCCUCCGGGCGUCCGCCGGGGAAAACCAAACCCUGAUUUAAUCGUAUUUCUCUGAGGGGCGAAAGCCCGAAAACAAAAUGAAUCAAAACUUUCAACAACGGAUCUCAGAUCGGAAGAGCACAC